GGAAUAUUGCGCAAUGGACGAAAGUCUGACGCAGCGACGCCUCGUGAGGGACGAAGGUCUUCGGAUUGUAAACCUCUUUCAGCAGGGACGAAGCGAAAGUGACGGUACCUGCAGAAGAAGCACCGGCUAACUAUGUGCCAGCAGCCGCGGUAAUACAUAGGGUGCAAGCGUUGUCCGGAUUUAUUGGGCGUAAAGAGUUCGUAGGCGGUUUUUCGCGUCGGAUGUGAAAACUCAGGGCUCAACCCUGAGCCUGCAUUCGAUACGGGAAGACUCGAGGACGGCAGGGGAGACUGGAACUUCUGGUGUAGCGGUGGAAUGCGCAGAUAUCAGAAAGAACACCAAUGGCGAAGGCAGGUCUCUGGGCCGAUCCUGACGCUGAGGAACGAAAGCGUGGGGAGCAAACAGGAUUAGAUACCCUGGUAGUCCACGCCGUAAACUAUGGACGCUAGGUGUGGGGGACAUUCCACGUUCUCUGCGCCGCAGCUAACGCAUUAAGCGUCCCGCCUGGGGAGUACGACCGCAAGGUUAAAACUCAAAGGAAUUGACGG
Molecule: ribosomal RNA, 548 nt
Filed under: uncultured bacterium
Lineage: Bacteria
Description: bacterial SSU rRNA
Rfam family: Bacterial small subunit ribosomal RNA
Source: RNAcentral